This 1522-nucleotide ribosomal RNA is filed under the name Vibrio parahaemolyticus. Its description in RNAcentral is "bacterial SSU rRNA". Lineage: Bacteria; Pseudomonadati; Pseudomonadota; Gammaproteobacteria; Vibrionales; Vibrionaceae. The record is from RNAcentral.
AGAGUUUGAUCAUGGCUCAGAUUGAACGCUGGCGGCAGGCCUAACACAUGCAAGUCGAGCGGAAACGAGUUAUCAGAACCUUCGGGGRACGAUAACGGCGUCGAGCGGCGGACGGGUGAGUAAUGCCUAGGAAAUUGCCCUGAUGUGGGGGAUAACCAUUGGAAACGAUGGCUAAUACCGCAUGAUGCCUACGGGCCAAAGAGGGGGACCUUCGGGCCUCUCGCGUCAGGAUAUGCCAGCUAGUUGGUGAGGUAAGGGCUCACCAAGGCGACGAUCCCUAGCUGGUCUGAGAGGAUGAUCAGCCACACUGGAACUGAGACACGGUCCAGACUCCUACGGGAGGCAGCAGUGGGGAAUAUUGCACAAUGGGCGCAAGCCUGAUGCAGCCAUGCCGCGUGUGUGAAGAAGGCCUUCGGGUUGUAAAGCACUUUCAGUCGUGAGGAAGGUAGUGUAGUUAAUAGCUGCAUUAUUUGACGUUAGCGACAGAAGAAGCACCGGCUAACUCCGUGCCAGCAGCCGCGGUAAUACGGAGGGUGCGAGCGUUAAUCGGAAUUACUGGGCGUAAAGCGCAUGCAGGUGGUUUGUUAAGUCAGAUGUGAAAGCCCGGGGCUCAACCUCGGAAUUGCAUUUGAAACUGGCAGACUAGAGUACUGUAGAGGGGGGUAGAAUUUCAGGUGUAGCGGUGAAAUGCGUAGAGAUCUGAAGGAAUACCGGUGGCGAAGGCGGCCCCCUGGACAGAUACUGACACUCAGAUGCGAAAGCGUGGGGAGCAAACAGGAUUAGAUACCCUGGUAGUCCACGCCGUAAACGAUGUCUACUUGGAGGUUGUGGCCUUGAGCCGUGGCUUUCGGAGCUAACGCGUUAAGUAGACCGCCUGGGGAGUACGGUCGCAAGAUUAAAACUCAAAUGAAUUGACGGGGGCCCGCACAAGCGGUGGAGCAUGUGGUUUAAUUCGAUGCAACGCGAAGAACCUUACCUACUCUUGACAUCCAGAGAACUUUCCAGAGAUGGAUUGGUGCCUUCGGGAACUCUGAGACAGGUGCUGCAUGGCUGUCGUCAGCUCGUGUUGUGAAAUGUUGGGUUAAGUCCCGCAACGAGCGCAACCCUUAUCCUUGUUUGCCAGCGAGUAAUGUCGGGAACUCCAGGGAGACUGCCGGUGAUAAACCGGAGGAAGGUGGGGACGACGUCAAGUCAUCAUGGCCCUUACGAGUAGGGCUACACACGUGCUACAAUGGCGCAUACAGAGGGCAGCCAACUUGCGAAAGUGAGCGAAUCCCAAAAAGUGCGUCGUAGUCCGGAUUGGAGUCUGCAACUCGACUCCAUGAAGUCGGAAUCGCUAGUAAUCGUGGAUCAGAAUGCCACGGUGAAUACGUUCCCGGGCCUUGUACACACCGCCCGUCACACCAUGGGAGUGGGCUGCAAAAGAAGUAGGUAGUUUAACCUUCGGGGGGACGCUUACCACUUUGUGGUUCAUGACUGGGGUGAAGUCGUAACAAGGUAGCGCUAGGGGAACCUGGCGCUG